RNAcentral lists this long non-coding RNA (3287 nucleotides) under Zea mays. RNAcentral's name for it is "long non-coding RNA (ZMAY_LNC002937)". The record is from RNAcentral. Lineage: Eukaryota; Viridiplantae; Streptophyta; Magnoliopsida; Poales; Poaceae.
GCUGUGUUGCAUUCCCUUCUCAACAUGAACCUCAAGAACCUUCUUCUCCUGAACGACCUUCUCACCCUUGCACCCUGGGCAGCGGUCCUUCUCGUUGAUGCUCUCCCCAGUCCCCUUGCACUCGUUGCAAGGCUGCUGCAUCUGCUGUAUCAUGGAAGGCCCCAGCUGACGAAUGGUGACUUUCAUACCUGAGCCCUGGCACCCAGGGCACCUCAUUGAAGCACCAGACUUCGAGCCCUUGCUGAAGAAAGAAGAAAGAAUGAUCAGCCGAAGGUUUUUGAAAAAAAAAAUGAUUCGAUUAAACGAGAAGGGCAAAAGGACCUAACCCCUUGCACUUGGAGCAGAUGACAUUGCGCGAAAGAGAGAGCUUCUUUGAGAUUCCAUUGUAAAGAUCUUCCAGAGAAACUUUAAGUGAGUGGACUACAUCUUCUCCCCUCCUUUGCCUUCUUCCCCUGCUGCUUCCACCACCUCCUGCAACGAAAACAUAUAUAAGCCAGUUAUCACAUUGAUAAUGAAGCAUAACAAAAAAAAAGGGGCACAGAUGAAUAUGGUACAAUACCUCCAAAAGAGGGUCCAAAGAAUGAUGAGAAAAUGUCAAAUGGAUCAGCAUGGGACCCACCACCACCCAUUCCUUCCUUAAGGGCAUCUUCACCAUACUGAUCAUAAAUCUCACGUUUCUCUGGAUCACUCAAAACCUCAUAGGCUUGUGCGAGCUCCUUGAACUGAUAUAAAUUAAAAACAAAGCUUUUACUCUACAAAUCAUGGAUCAAAAAAGAAAUUUACCAGAUAGACUGAACCAGUUGAGGGAGGGAACAGAUACCAUCACAUAUGUCACUUCUAUAUAUUUUUGUUACUAAACAAAAUUGUCAUUGUAUAAAACAACUGUAUUAUGGCAUACAAUAUAAGCAAGUAAGAAAGGGAAAAAUCAUAUAGCAUGCAAUAACAAUAUUACUGGCUCAAAUAAUGUGGUGGAAACGCAUAUGUAUCAGCUACAACAAAACUCAAAAAGUUUUAAUAUACAAGACAAAUAAGAAAUAAAGCCAACGACCUCCAGAUGAUUAUUACCAAACAGGCGAACCUUGUAAGCUUUACAAGAUAAGAAAACACAUAAUAGGCUGCAUAAGGCUAUCUCCAGCAGCUUACUCAUAUCCAUACCCAUAUUCAAACUCCACUCUGCGAACAGUACACUCUACAGUGCAGAACAGUGUAAAACAGUGCUUUUGGGUAAACUUUGGGUAGACUGCUGCAGACGGCCUAACAGACAGGAAAGGCACAAGCACAUCCAAAACAACGAUCAAAAUAAUCAUUGGACGACAAACCAGCUGGACCAUUAUUUGCCAUUCUAUGUGAUAUCAACACCUGCAAAAAUUUCAACCAGGGCCACAAGGACAAGGAUAACUUCCCUACAUGAAACUAUCAACAAGGGAUUCAGACAUGACUCGUCCUGCAUGAUAAAGUAGGGUACUGAAAACAUAACACCACUGCUGUCUGCUAACAGUUGUGUGAGUUUAUUUUCCAAAGAUAUUACACAAUGUAUCCGAGGGUAAAGUACAAAGAUAUUGAACAUCUUCUGGAUGACCACAGAUACCUCGUUGAAACAUCCAGGUGACACGAAGGGUAGGUUUCCAUGACAAUGUAACACAACCAUUAUAGAGUAAUAAAUAUCGGGGGAAAUGGAUUAUAACCACCACACAUCUUAAACCCCACACACCCGCACUAGCUGUUGACAGAUAGGCCCCAAGGCCCCAACUGACAGUGUAUUUCAUCCAAUAAAACAAAACUACUACGCAAUAGUUACUCUUCAAGCGAGCAACCGCCGGUCCAAAAUGAACAAUUGCAGGCACUGCUAAAAAACGAUGCACCUUAUCCUGCACCUGCUGCAGAGUUGCCCGUCAACGAGAAGAAAAUACUAGCCAAUAAGCGUGUGUGAAGUGAGUCAUAAGUUCAUAACACAUGACCACGAGAACCGCACAUGGCAUGCAAGCUAAAAAGCUGUUCUCUUUCACCUGCCUAUGAUUCUGACCACAGCAAGCACAUGGAGAUGGCAGUCACGAGUCUCCACACAACUAGGGUCGCAAUCACGGUACACAACAUGACCGCGCACAGCACAAACCUAUCGCAUGCAACAAGAACUACAAAUCACCGUUGAAACUAGAAGCACCAAUGAAUCUACCGAACGAUCACAUCAUCAGGCCCGUGCGAGGGCAUGUGCAGCCAAAGUCCAAAAACAGGGGGCCUCCCUCUAAAGGCCCCCCAAAAUACUAGUCAGCAAUAGUUUAGACAAUGCACAGUACAGUAAUGAGUAGAAGGUCUAGCUAAGUUAGCUCGGCAAGGAAAAAACAUACGUGCUGUUUGGUUCGGCAACCGGUAGUGGCAAUGGGAAUGGAACUUAUUCACCUGCUAUCCUUUACUGUGAAUGGUUACCGGUCUAUGUUUGGUUGCAGCGUUGGAUCCAAAAAGACAGAUCGGCGUUGGCUAGCAGUCAAAAAGCAGCGGUGAUGAUUUUGUAUUGGCUGGUAUUGCAUCCCACUGCAAUCGUUUACGGUAUAGUCUAACCAAACAUAAAGCAAUGGUAAUAGAUUACCCUGUUAACUGAUUACGGCACUGAAUCAACGAACCAAACAGCACCAUAGUGUUUGUCAUGGCGGCCGAUGCCAAUCUCUCGUGCAACUCGUUUUGGCUAUGUGACGAAGUGCAGCCCGCGUAUGCUGGCUUAACAUCUGGACGCUAGGAUCAUCCGUUACCAUUAUGAAGCCACUUCCCAGGCACGACAAAAAAAAUGUUUGAUGUAAAGAAAAACGUGUUUGCGUCCGUCAGAAGAACGUACACCCCUUCACAUGUUAAUGGAUCAAUCACUGUUAAUAGACGAGAUAAAUCUAUAUCAUAGAUCCUUAACAGAGAAAAAAAUCGUUACAGGACCUUGAAUUAUGCCGGCCCGGCCCUGCACAUCAUGGACACGGGAUGAGGGACCUAAACAUCAUCAGGACCCACGCGCGACCCUUCCUAAAGGUGAAUCUACCAAACGCAACUGAACCUCGAUCUACCGCAGCGGAUCGCGCCAGAUCGGAUCAAGGACAGAUCGGAAGAGGGGAGAGGGGGGUGGAAAACCUUCUCGGGGUCACCGCCCUUGUCGGGGUGGUUCUUGAUAGCUGCCUUGCGGUAGGCCUUCUUGAGGUCGUCCUGGGACGCCGACUUGGGCACCCCGAGGAUCUCGUAGUACUUGGUGUUGUCGCUCUUCUUCGGCGCGCGCCCGAACAUCUUGCCUUUGGCUUUGCCGCCGCCGCCGC